RNAcentral lists this ribosomal RNA (459 nucleotides) under Aulonogyrus goudoti. RNAcentral describes it as "partial 16S ribosomal RNA". It matches the Rfam family "Bacterial large subunit ribosomal RNA", at positions 1806 to 2534 of the family's 2925-position model. The record is from RNAcentral. Lineage: Eukaryota; Metazoa; Arthropoda; Insecta; Coleoptera; Gyrinidae.
AACAAAAACAUCUCUUUUUGAUUUGUAUAUAAAGUAUAACCUGCCCACUGAUAUUAUUUAACGGCCGCAGUAUUUUGACUGUGCAAAGGUAGCAUAAUAAUUAGUUUUUUAAUUAAAAGCUUGUAUGAAUGGUUGAACGAGGUAAAUUCUGUCUUUAAUUGAUUUAUUAUAGAAGUUAAUUUUUAAGUUAAAAAGCUUAAAUUUAUUUAAAAGACGAGAAGACCCUAUAGAUCUUUAUUAUUUAAUUUUAAAAAUUUAUUUAGAAAUUUAUAUAUUUUUAUAUUUAAUUAAUUUUAUUGGGGUAAUAUAAAGAUUUAAAAAAUUCUUUAUUUUAAAACCAUAAAUUUAUGAUUUUUUUGAUCCAGUUUUAUUGAUUAUAAGAUUAAGUUACCUUAGGGAUAACAGCGUAAUUUUUUUGAAGAGUUCUUAUCGAUAAAAAAGAUUGCGACCUCGAUGUUG